AACUUUAUUCAAUUCUUAUAACCCUAUUUCUCGUACAGUCAAAUGGCUGGAUUUCACCACCCUGGCGACCCCUACUUUCCCAACCAAGGCAACGGAGGAUGGAUCGAAGAUGAUCCCGAAGAGGACGAGGAACCCAUAGAAGUGGGUGAUGACUCCGGUACCGACUCAGAGCCGGAAGUUAUCGAUCCACCACCCGUACAACCUCCCGUCUUCGUAAGGAACUUUCAAGGACCGACUCCCGUCUGAGGAAGUCAUCUCCACCAUUGGAUCCAACAACAAAACCUACGCCCUCCCUACGGCAUGUGUCGAGACUUCUACGAUGUCUGAGGCGAAGGUUCGGCUGAUCGGGCCCUCCCAGUAAUGGUGGGUAAGCUAGCCAAUCAAUCCUAUCAAUCCGGAGUUCAAGCUAGCCGACUUCAGGAUGUUAACGUGGAAGUACAGGUUCACACUUCCGACAUCUGUAGGCUGGACAGAAUGCAAGACAAUGCUCAACUCCAAACCGAGGCAUUCCAAGCGCAAAUGAUUGCAGCCCUCGCCGAAUUAAGGGAACAACAAGCCGCUUUUGAUCGGCGUCUAAUGGAGUCAAAGCAAUCGGAUGCGGAGUCAAGCUCCAAGCGCAACCUAUGUCGCAAGUAAUGCUUGCAAGAAUCUCAAAUUUUGUUAUAAGUUAGGACCUCAGCCAAAAGUCUUUAAUUUUCUCAAACUUUGUAACCAGAGACCCUUAUAGGGGUCAAUUUUUCAUGAUCGUUGUAUCAACUAUUAUAUUAAUAUAAGUGGCACUAUUAUUACUACGUUGAGUAUUUCAUUAAAUCCUCGAAAAGUCAUCAAGAAACCAAGUGCUUGAUUCAUAUUGUCAGUCUUACAAAUAACUUUCAUGCUUCUAUUUUAAGACUCAUACUAUCACCUGUUGUCGAACUAUAGCAAUUUGGUUCAUAAGACACAUUCAGUUUCUAUACUAAGUAAUUCUUAUCGUUAUCUUUUCAACCUAUAGUUGAAGGAUGCCUCCGCGUAGGAAUUCAAGGCGAAACAAUGGUGGGGAAGAACCUAUACCACCACCACCUCCACCACCUCAAUUUGAUGUUGUCAUGUUCCAAGCAGCAGUCAUCGCAGUGGUAGCAGCUGCCAUGUCACAGAUCAAUAACUCGAGUACUACUGGCUCGGGAUCUGGCACACACCUAUCCAACCAUGGCGAGAGUCAUGGACCACCUCGAGAAUGCACCUAUAAGGACUUCACUAAUGCCAAGCCCCGGAUGUUUUAUGGAACUGGUGGUGUGAUAGCCCUGAGGCAGUGGAUUGAAAGGACGGAAGCAGUCUUUGAAAUCUGCUCCUGUCCCGAGCACAGCAAAGUCAAAUUUGCAACUUUCACCCUUAUUGAUAGAGCUUUAACUUGGUGGAAUGGCCACGUUAAGGUACUUACCCUGAUAGUGGCAAACUCCAUAAGCUGGGAAAGCUUAAAAGUCAUGCUGAUGAGAGAAUACUGUCCACGAGGAGAGAUUUAAAAACUCGAACACGAACUCUGGACUCUUGGAAUGGUUGGUAACGACAUCGAAACUUAUACCAACAGGUUCUGCGAUCUGGAAAUCCUUUUCCUAGAUAUGACUGCUCCUGAGAGCAAGAAAAUAGAGAGAUACAUUUGGGGAUUGUCUCCACAAAAGGGAAACAACAACAACAACAGCAACAACAACAACAAGAAGAGGGUAUGGAAUAAAGGGAAGGGUGGGUCUUCCCAAGAAUCCGUGAAGAAACAACUGGUCUCAGUGAAUGCUGCCAUUGCACCUACUACAGUUCCUAAAAAUACCUACCCAACCAAGCCUUAUGUAGGUAACCUUCCCAAGUGCGCCAAAUGCACUUACUAUGACAACCUGAUAUUUCAACUCUUUGUAAUGACCUAAAAAGUCAAGUAUUGUAGCUACUUUUGAAAUAAUGAAAUUAACUUCGAAGAUGAAAUAUGUAAAAAUCUUUAUAAGAAUAUCUAUUAUGUUAGACAUUGUGUCAAGGUUUACAUAAAUACUAAGAACACUAAAAUCCGAGUUACAACAAAGAAGUUAUGACCAUUCUAAGAUUUCCGACAAAACCGACAACACCGAUUAAACGGAAAACGCGAAGUUUCAAUACGAUAGCAUUUAGCCUUAGGUAUCUAAAUGAAAGUUAUAGAUAACAUUAAACCGUGAGCGUACACAAAAAGAACGUCCAAAUCUGACUUCGUAUGAGGAAGUUAUGAUUUUUCCAAGAUCCGAAUAUAGCAGUAGACAGCUAAAAACUCGAAAUAGAGCUCGAGAGACUUUUGACCAAAACAACCUAAAUGAGAAUCGAAGGUCUCAACAUUAGUAGCGCAACAACGAAAAGUCUGACGAAAACGGACAUCGGAUGAAGAAGUUAUGGAUUUUAUACGGACUUUUCGUGUCCCGGCCCGUUAAAAAUAAAUAAUUAAAAAUAAAGUCAAAAUUUGCCGAUGAAGUCUAAAUGAAAGUUGUAGAUCAUAUUUUCAGCUAUGCGUGCAUAUAAAGAACGUCGAAAACGGAGCUCGUACGCGAAAGUUAUGGAUUUUACAAGUUCGGGGUCCAAAAUCCGAGGCUGUCAGGCCUCCCCACGACGUGGCACUGUUUUGCCGCGACCCGGCAAGUGACUGAGGGUGUCCAAUCAAUGGAAGAGGAUAGACUUGCUUCCCACGACGUGCCCAACCCUAGCCACGACGUGGCACUCAAAAAUACCCCCUAUAAAUAGAACUCUUGGGGUGCCGGGUUUAGGUGCUCCAUUCUUCCCUCUCUCGUGCUGAAACUCUGCGGUUAAGCUCCCGAAGCCCUCCCGAAGCCCCGGUUUUCACACUCAAGUUCCGAAGGAAGGUUCUACUCUCCCGAGAUUCCCGAGAUUCCCGAGAAUCCCGAGAAAAUCGACUUUCACGAGCCGAAGUUCUGCUCGAUUUUCUUCUCGUUUUCCCCAAUCAAUCAAGUGAGUUUCAUACCCCUUAAUCAACCUUUUUAAAUAUUCUAAAUGCUUUUAUAUGCUCUCAAGGGGGGGAAUACAAGUAAACACACAACUAAUAUCGUGUGUUACAUAAACAAUUACUUUAUGUGCUUUUAUAUAUCCAAAUCGCAUGUGAUUUAUAAACUAUAUAGGGAACUUUUAUAUAUAUACAAAAUAUGUUAUAUUCCAUCCUUUGAAAUAUAAAUUGUUGUAAUGCAUGUAUAAACUAAACAUUUUCUUAGAUUAUAUGUAUACUUGUCUAUCUUAGACUCUACACCAAAAAUCUAUGUUUUCAUAACAAAUGAUUCCUUUUCUAGGUAUUUCUAAACAAACGAGACACACUUUUAGAAAACUAUAAUAGGUAUAGUUUUACAAACAAAUUUCUAACUCUUAUGUACUAGAAACAUGAAUUUCAAGAAGUCACUUUCGUAUACAAGAACAAAUGAAACAUUUUAACAAGUAGAUCUGUUUUUAUACCACGGUUUUGUGAGACGCUAACUUCACGUACGUUCGAGUACACAUUUCAAGUCCUGUAUUAUAUACCAGAAUCCCUUGGAGGGGGAGCAUGGUGUUUGUGUAUAGAUCUAUACGGGCUUGACAACCCGCGCCCUGACUGUUAGCUGCAGUCCACCGUUUGGGGUGACAAACGUCAUAACAUUCCAACGCCUGAAGAACGUUGUGUAUAGGCAUUCCGAGUCAAUAGUAUGGUUAUAAAACUCACAUGGGGUAUUAAAAAUGCAUUGAUUUACAAGGUUUUCAAAAUACAUUGGUUAUUUUACACUUACAUACAUUUUGGAAACAAACAUUGGUCUUGAGUGAAGGCUACUUUUAUACUAGUAGAAAAUAUAGGAUUUUCUAAACACAAACAAACAAAGACAAAACAUUUCAUUUCAUACAAACAUUGUCACUUAAAUACUUAUGAAACUCACCAGCUUAAAUGCUGAUCUACUCUUUCAAAAUUACUUGUAUGUCCCAGGAAAUCAGUAAUUUCAGGUAUUCAUUACGCUUUUGAUGAAGGGAUGCUGCGGCGCCAGUUUAAUCUCGUAUUUUUGACAUCAUAUUGUAAUUGGUUUUGAACAUGUAACUUUUGACAAAUGUAAACUUUCAAUUAUAUAUAUGAUGGUUGUAUUGCUUUCUUUACUAUGUAUUCAUUUGUUACGUUACCACAUGAAGUCAUCCGCCCCCGAACGUUUCCGCCGUUCAGGUUUGGGGGUGUGACAGAUUGGUAUCAGAGCAAUGUUUAUAGUGAACUAAGUAUAUCGAACCACAUAAGAUAUACAAACUAUAAAUGCUUAAGGGACUAAUACUCUCUGACAAAACAAAUUUUCUUUUUACACUUAAGCAGCAUUGCGUUCAACUUAAAUUGAUAGUUCAUUUAAGUACAACUACAUGCAUACAACAAAUUAUUUUCAUGAUAUCUAACUAUACAACAAGUAUUUAGACAAGUUCACACUACGAUUAAGACUCUAUAUAUGUAAUCAGAUUUUGGACAAAUAUAGCGUGAUCAACUAUAUUUGCCCGAGAUUGGACCAACGUAUAUCGAGGAAUGAUCGUAGUAAGCAACAAGUCAAAACUUACCAAACCAUUACAAGAAUCAAACACAAGAAUUUAAAUACUAUAGGAGUAUUUGCUAUCUAAACUAGUUUAACUUACAUGUUUUGCAUGUUCCAACUUUAUUCAAUUCUUAUAACCCUAUUUCUCGUACAGUCGAAUGGCUGGAUUUCAUCACCCUGGCGACCCCUAUUUUCCCAACCAAGGCAACGGAGGAUGGAUCAAAGAUGAUCCUAAAGAGGACGAGGAACCCAUAGAAGUGGGUGAUGACUCCGGUACCGAAUCAGCGCCGGAAGUUAUCAAUCCACCACCCAUUCAACCUCCCGUCUUUGUAAGGAACUUUUAAGGACCGACUC
Molecule: long non-coding RNA, 4871 nt
Filed under: Lactuca sativa (garden lettuce)
Lineage: Eukaryota; Viridiplantae; Streptophyta; Magnoliopsida; Asterales; Asteraceae
Description: long non-coding RNA (LSAT_LNC001654)
Source: RNAcentral